GACGAACGCUGGCGGCGUGCUUAACACAUGCAAGUCGAACGGAAAGGCCCUGCUUGCAGGGUACUCGAGUGGCGAACGGGUGAGUAACACGUGGGUGAUCUGCCCUGCACUUCGGGAUAAGCCUGCGAAACUGGGUCUAAUACCGGAUAGGAGCCAUCCUUAGUGUGAUGGUUGGAAAGUUUUUUCGGUGUGGGAUGAGCUCGCGGCCUAUCAGCUUGUUGGUGGGGUAUGGCCUAACAAAGGCGGCGACGGGAGGCUGGCCGGGAGGGGGGAAGGGCCCAAUUGGGCUGGGGAACGGCCCAGACCCCCACGGGGGGGAACAAGGGGGAAAAUUGCAAAAAGGGGGCGAGCCUGAUGCAGGGAAGCCGCGUGGGGGGUGACGGCCUUCGGGUUGUAAACUCGUUUCGCUAGGGACGAAGCUGUUUGUGACGGUACCUAGAUAAGAAGCACCGGCUAACUACGUG
RNAcentral lists this ribosomal RNA (464 nucleotides) under uncultured bacterium. RNAcentral describes it as "partial 16S ribosomal RNA". It matches the Rfam family "Bacterial small subunit ribosomal RNA", at positions 28 to 507 of the family's 1533-position model. The record is from RNAcentral.